Molecule: small RNA, 937 nt
Filed under: Pongo abelii (Sumatran orangutan)
Lineage: Eukaryota; Metazoa; Chordata; Mammalia; Primates; Hominidae
Description: retained intron
Source: RNAcentral
GCACUCUAUGAAAUAGCAUUGAGUCAUUUUUAGGAUAGAAAUAUCUGACAAAUAAUAGAUAUUAAGCUGCCUUUCUUAAUCAAAAUUAUACUCACCUUUUAUUUUCAUAAGCCCAUCACUUUAAGGCAGACGCAUUGGGGAUUUAAAGGAAUGUUUUAAAUGGAAAGAUGCUUUCGUUCUUAAGGAGGUACAUUUAUUUCCAUUUGUCUCAUCUGAUUCAUACAACUUUAACCCUAGGAGCUGAUGACUUCUUAAGAUUUCCAAGCUGCUAUUUUAUAGGUAUAGGUAACUGUGUUACCACUUUCCUAAUGUACUUUCUUGUUUCUUCUUGGACAGGGGCUGAUUCAGGAGAUCAAUGAUUUGAGGUUAAAAGUUAGUGAAAUGGACAGUGAGAGACUUCAGUAUGAAAAAAAGCUUAAAUCCACUAAAGAUGAACUGGCAUCUUUAAAAGAACAACUAGAAGAAAAGGAAUCUGAAGUAAAAAGGCUACAAGAAAAAUUGGUUUGCAAGAUGAAAGGAGAAGGGGUUGAAAUUGUUGAUAGAGGUAAGAAGAUAUAUUUCACAUUUGUCAUCUCAUUUUGUUAAAGUCCUCCAAAAUCUGUAAAAGAAACCAAUGAUAGUCAAUGUGUAAUUUUAGCAUCAAAGAAAGAGCAGCGGAAUCCAGCCAGGCCCAGAACCACAGGGAAUUCUCCAAGACUCUGUACUGUGACUGGGAAUCCAUUAAUUUCCUCUUCAGCAGCUGGAAAAGGGGAAUUCUGUACUUUAUUUGGUGUUUAAGAUUACUAGACUGUAAAUUCUCAUCACAAGGAUGGACUAGUGUCGAUUGCAAUGCAAGGGAAUUUAUGCCAAAGGAGUUAAAAAGAACCAUCCCUGUGUCCCAGGAUCGUUGCCCUCAGAACUGAAAUUAGAUAAAGUAAGGGACUUAGAAACUGUUCUG